Molecule: transfer RNA, 72 nt
Filed under: Equus asinus (donkey)
Lineage: Eukaryota; Metazoa; Chordata; Mammalia; Perissodactyla; Equidae
Also listed under: 1 other name
Rfam family: tRNA
About the family: Transfer RNA (tRNA) molecules are approximately 80 nucleotides in length.
Source: Rfam by way of RNAcentral
GCCCUGGUGGUCUAGUGGUUAAGAUUUAGCACUCUCACCACUGAGGCCCGGGUUCACUUCCUGGUCAGGGAA